CAGAGCAGCCGUGGACUCCUGUCGAGAAGAACUGUUGUAUCUGUCUUUGUUUGGCUGGCUUCAGGGGGCAGGUGCACGGCGGGCUCAAAUCCUUUCGCCACGCUUCCUCCUUCUUCUCCUCUAACAAGGCCACAAAAUGACUCAUCUCUCAUUGGGCGGGUGAGAUGCCCUGAGAAACAGCGCAGAGCAACACACCAGAGUAUUUCCACUCUCCAGAACAACGGAGAUACGUUUCUCCCAGUCUCCAAGAGUUCUCUAUGAAAAUGAAUGCAGUCUGCCAAGUUCCAAGUGGGAGGACAGAAAAUGGGAGAGAGAGAAAGUAGGAGCCUAAUCCUCUCUCUUCUGUUCACCCAGGGUGCUGCUGCGUGAAUGAAGCUCAGCUCGUCUCAUUCUCACACUGUUCAUUUGAGCACUGUUCAGUGAGCAAAGAUCACCGUUAGAAGACACCUCACCGCUUCUCCUACAGGGCUGCUUUAUGACCGAUACGUCUUGUAUAAACAGAAAUCGACCCUGUGACAUUGGGUUUGAAAAUGGCAGUUGUCUGCGUGUUUGACCCAUGAGCUGCAGGUGCCUUGAUUGGCCCCGAGUCCCCAUCCUGACACUCGUGACUGACUGACAGGACAGGCGCCAGCAGAAUGAUGCAUUGUACGUCCAUCCACCCCGCAACCUUCUGGUAUGGCCUGGGAAGAGCUGGGAGUCAUUAACUUUUAAAGCAGGUAGGCUGAGAGAGAGAAAAACAGAAGGGUCAGUCAGGCACAAGGGCCAAUGUCCAUACUGCGCUCUGUGGCAUACCAAUCCCUCCCAAAACCGUCUCGAACGGGCCUGACGGACAAGCGCGAGAGGGCAGGGCGCAACCCGGCUACCGCGGGGUGGCGGGUAUGCUGCCGCUAUCAUCUGCCGUGGGCACAGGUGGCAUUGAGGAUACGGGUGGGUAUGUGUAUGAGUGUGUGCAUCAGUGGAACGAUAAGGUUGAUUGACAGGUCUCAUCAGAGACAGCCUAAUGACACCCCAAACCACCAAUUAGGGCUCAUCAAGGUCCCCAAUUGAAUGUCGCUGAUAAAUAAUGUAUGCCUUCAGUAAUUCCACAUAAUCUUGAUACUGGAGAGUCAAAGGUGUAUGCAUUAUUAAUGGGGCCAAAUUGGACUUUAAUAACUGCCUCAGUGAAUCCUACACGGUAGAGGAAUUCACUUAUGUUAAUAUGGCUUUAUUAUUAAUGGGGUGACGGUUUUCUGAAAUGUUAACUGACUAAAGCACUCCAGAGGCAAUUCCCAAGAUUGACGAGUCCUCCGUCCGAGAGAAGGGGUGCGUUCUUAUUUAUUUACCGGUUCACCUGUAGCACAUCGGACCAGACCAUUAGAUCAGUAAUUUGCUCAUCAAAUCCUUAGCUUGUAUCAGAAUGGCACAAUUACGCGGGUCGUGUGUUCAGAAGACCGAGCGCCAUUAAUCCCAUAUUAGUUUAAGAAGGACUGACUUACUUUUAGCAAACACAGAUGAGCCGAUAAAGUUGGUGCCGGAUAGUUUGUUUGGAGCGUCGCUGUUGCCUUAAUUGGGUGUUUGGGUGACAGUGCAGGCUGAUGGGAUCCUAGAGAAUAUCGCUAAACGGCAUUACUUAAUGAUGAGCGUUUUAUCUGAAAGAUCUCCUGUGGAUUAACGCACCACCACAUCAUGUGUUUUGAGUAGGAAGACUAAUAUUUGCAGUAAACCUGCUCAGUCAUUAGGCUGAGGAGCAAUUUCCUUAUUCGUUCCUGCUCUUGAGGUCUUAAUGAAUGCACAUUUUACAAACAGAACUUUGCAAGAGUGUUCUGACAGCACACUAUGGUUCUAACACUGAUUCUUGGCUUUAUGUGGCAUCUGUAAAUUUGUUGAAAUCUGUGACAUCUAUGCAUGCAUCCUGGAAAGGGAAGAAAAAUGAUUGAAUUGUUUAUGUUGCCUAGGCAUUUGCAUACGUCCACAGCGCAUCAGAGGCAGGGUUCUGCUUCGCUUCUCUGAACUAAUCUACCUGGCAAAGGCUCUGAGAUGCUGCUGGCGCAUAAACGGAUCACAGCCCACUUGCACAACAUCACAAAGAAGCCAAAUGAAAAUGCAUGUUUUUCAAUGUGUGGACACUUCUGUGAUGAUCACUACUGAAUAUUUCUUUUAUACUCUCUGUACGAUGUGUCUUGAGGUGUCCCUUUGUGAAUUGGUCGGUACUACUUUUAAGGUUAGUUACAUAAUUUUCCUUCCAUAAAGUGUUUUUUUUUUUAAGUUUGUUUAUCUUUAGGGAAUUCAGGCAGCCUUUGUUUCAAUUCCUAUUUUUAUUUUACUGUAGGAAGAGUAAUCACAGUACUUUCCAGUAGUUAUCCACAAAAAUAGUAGUUGUAACCAUUUUCUCCAUGUUUUUGCAAUCUGGUUGGACCCUGGUAAUUUCCGCUUGCAGCUAGAAUUUUCUUUUGAUUUUGUUUGAUGUAUUUGGUCUAUGGUCUUCUAUCCAUUGUGUGUCCCUCUGUUCUUUAAAGCCCAUGGGCGUGCUGCGAGUUCCUAAAAAGCUCCUGCAAGCAUUUGUUAGAGUGGACUAUUUUUGAUGCCGGUCCAACCGAGAAGUGUAAAAUCUCCUAAAUAUCCGAUACAGGUGUCGUUUUCCAUUUACCCAAUUUGAACAUUUACACGAAAACCAAUCGUGCUGGUACGACCUUCGGUGUUAUUUUAGAAUGACAAAAAUGAAGAUCAUUAAUAUUGAAAACUGAUUUUAUUUCUUCCCUGUCACUGUUAUCAGAAGUGAAUUAAAUUCUCCAUUUGUGUUUUUUUAGCGUGUUGUAAAGGUGUUUAAUGGGUCUCCAGCGGCCUCAUAUCAACAGUGCGUAUGCACAAAUGUGUGUGUGGUGAGUGCAAACCUUUUAUUUAAAGCACAAUGUAAAAGACACACUUAACAGAACAAUUUAUGAAAAAAGAAAUAAAAGAAGGAACAUUCAAACAAACUGAAAAAUAACAAAAAGAGGUUUGCAUAUGAAUCAUUAUUACAGAAAUUCUUCCAAUAAAAAAUUGAACGAGCAUGACGCUUAAGAACAUGUGGCAUUUAUCAACAAUGAUUACUCACUGGUAUGCGUAAGACCCGUGUACGCACGUUUGAUAAAUACAGAUUUUUUUGUACUUAGACACAUUCUAAAUUUGCUUCCUAGGACAAAAUAUAAAACCUUUUCUACGCACUGUUGAUAAAUGAGGCCCAAGGUGACUGGAGCAUUUUGAGAUUUGCAUGUGUACGGAUCAGGUCAGUCUAACUUGGGCUGAUAGCUGUUGUUGCCAGGGAAACGCUAUUGUUUGUGGGAUUAAUUAACGAGUGAGAUUGGAUGGUAGACUUUACCGCAGCUGGAGUCUCUUUUUACCUUGUUAACCUCUUCCUUCUCUCGCUCUCUCACCUCCAUCCCCCACUUUCUCUCUCUUCAUUAUGUGUUCAUCUGCCUGUGCGACUUGACUUCGUGCGCACGACUGAUACGGAAGAUCGAACAGGACAGGUGUUUUCCGUUUCAUCACGGGCAGUGUCUGAGGUUCGGGCAGCCGGAGAAGCGAAGGCAAGGGGGAAAGAUCGUCACAGGGCUGGCAGUUCAUCGUCUGCAUGCAGCAGGAGCCUAACAGACUUCCUGACAUCCCAUCAAUAUAUUGACAGCUGCUGUCACUCAGGCGGCUUUAGAGAUGAGCAGAGCUCUGGCACAUGAGGCUGAUGGCCUGCGUUCGAUUGGUUGUGUGUCGACUUAAAACCAACAGCAUUCUGGGCAGGUCUCUUGAUGUAGAUUUGGUCAUUGAUUUCUCACUAAAUCUUGUUCAUCAAAGCAAGUCUGGAUUCCUUAGGACUGAACAUCCAGUUCCUUGUUGUCCUUCCGACCGGACAUGGAGUAUCAGAACAGACUGUGAGAAACAUGUUUUAAAACAUGAUGAUAAUGUUCUAAACCCAGUGUGUCAUAUUGCUUGGAACAUCAAAAGUGACAGAAAUGCGGUGUGGCCACAGGAGAACCCGACCCCUUCUAAAAAUGUUUUAAGGGAUUGGAUCACAAGGUGCAUUGGACCCUGUUUACACUUGUGUUUGGAACUAUAUACUUUUGAUCUGCCCACCUGGGGCCCGUUUCAGUAAGGAGGUUCAACCAACACCGAGUUAAAAUGUGAACUCUGAGUUGAUUUACACCGAGAUGCGAAACUUUGAGUUUUUGGUCAACUCUGGGUAGGCUUACCUUGAGUUAAGCGCGUGCACCAAGACUACGACAAGCCAUGAUCAAUGGAGCUCCGAUAUUACGAUUCACCAUGGCAACGGCACCAAAGAAAAAGCAACAUGGCGGCAGAAAGCGCUUGAUAUAGGCACACUUAAAUAAAAAAUAGAUAAAUGUACCAAUAAACAAAUAAAUGAAUCAGAAAAUGAACGAAACAACAGAAAUAAAACAAAAAUAAAAAAUAUUAUGUUCUCACUCCCCAUCAGUGCUCUAGUGAUAACUGUGACUCGUCAUUGUGUAUAGGACACUUGUUAGGGUUCCAGACUCACGUGUCAAACUUAUCGCAGAUUUGGGUAGGAAUGGCUGCACCUCUAAAUUAAUUGUUUAUUACCUUUAUUGCUUUAUUUCUGCAUUUACAGUAUGUCUGUAUUUAUGCAUUUCUUUAUUCAUGCACUUUAUUUAUAUACUUUAUUAAAGGCGGGGUAACCGAUUUCCGAAUUACGCUUUAGAUAAGUGAGUCAGGCCGAAUACCAAAACAACCUUGUAGCCAAUCAGCAGUAAGGUGCACAGGACGGACAUAAGCCGAGUGCUGACGAAAGUGAAAGAUGGGGGUAGGGGUGUGUUUGUUUUGGUGAUUCGAACAUCAACAACGGCUAAGAGAAAUCGGACACCCCGCCUUUAAGUCAUUUCUCAUCCUCCAUAGAAAACUACCAUUUGUGAGAAAAUAACACACGGCUACGAUGGUUGAUGUUAUUGAUGUAAGGAUGGAUGAUAUGUUUUGAUAUAUCUAAUUCACUGUAAUGAAAAAUGGGACAGUUUUAGUAAAAAUGCACAGGGAAAUGACAAAAUUCCACUCGGGUCCUAAAUUGCUCUCCUGAAAUCAAAGAA
This is a long non-coding RNA of Triplophysa rosa, 5063 nucleotides long. RefSeq lists it as uncharacterized. NCBI's taxonomy places the organism in Eukaryota, Metazoa, Chordata, Actinopteri, Cypriniformes, Nemacheilidae. The transcript is spliced from 8 exons. The record is from RefSeq and is a predicted model, not a curated record.